Long non-coding RNA from Carassius auratus (goldfish), 1173 nucleotides. RefSeq lists it as uncharacterized. The record is from RefSeq and is a predicted model, not a curated record. The transcript is spliced from 4 exons. Lineage: Eukaryota; Metazoa; Chordata; Actinopteri; Cypriniformes; Cyprinidae.
AUGUACUUAAUAAACCACAAGCAAACAUUUUACGAACAAGACACUUUUCAAUGGGGUAGUAUCCACUGCAUGGGCUACAGAAAGUGAGAGAAACAGAAAGUGAAAACAGAAAGUGUUGGUGGGCUAGCUGAGAAUGACAGCGACCUGCUGGUGAGUUAAGGAGUUAUCUGACAUGCGUGUGUGUGUGCAAAUAUACCAUUUGUAAUGUGUGAGGCCUGACCCUGCAGGAGACCAUCACUCUUUUAUUAAGUGAAAGUGAUUAAAAGAGCAACUGUAGCUGCUUUAUGAUAUCUCCUCACACACCAGAUGUUCACUACACUGUAAACCCUAAUGUUGUAAUUAAUAAAGAAAUCAAGUUAACAUAACUUCACAUUACUUAUAACAACCAGUUUUGCCAUCAAAACUUAAACAGGUGUGUUUAAAUUACUCAUUGGCAGGAAAAAUCUUUUGAAUUAAGAUUUUAAGUGUUAUUAACUCAGAAUUUCCAUUUAUUUAAAUUAUUCGGUACGUCUCUGUUUAAAAAUGAUUGGUCGCGCUUGAAAUUCUGCCUUGACAACAGCGCCGAUUGGCCAAUAUAACACAAGGCGGGAAUUUUUUGUCGAAUUUGCUGAAGACGCAGCACUGACUGCAGGACACAGUCAUUUGCAGGAACACCUGAAAGAACAAAUAAAUAAUAAAGUUUAAAGUUAAAUAGGUAAGUAAAGGUUUAAACGCAACGCAUAAAUAUACACACGCUGUUUUUUUUUAUUUCCUUAUACGUUUUAUUGCCAUGUUAUUUGCAUGUUGAAAAUACUUUUCCGUUUUACUCUGGCAGCGGGCAGCUGCACAAGCAGCCAGACAGGCGUUAAAGCAGGCGGGAAGAGAGUCGCCGUGAAAGACCCAGAGUACGCUGGGACAGUUAACACUAGCAGGCAGGUGGUUAUGAAGCAGACGAGGAGGGGGAAGAGUCGAGGCCACAGGAGUAACGUUACGCUGCUAUCAGAGCCAACUGAAAAACUGAACUUUGGUGCUUCAAGGACUACCCCUUUGGUUUGGAGAUGACUCUCCUGCUUUCUUUAAAAUGUGUUUGAUGUCCGAUGAUCACAGCUCAAUUCUUGAUCUGCCAGUGGGGAUUGUGAUAGUUGAAGAUGGGACAAGAUGGGUCUCCCUCUUCGACUGGAAUCGCAAUCGAGG